AUAUCAAUAAGCGGAGGAAAAGAAACUAACAAGGAUUCCCCUAGUAACUGCGAGUGAAGCGGGAAAAGCUCAAAUUUAAAAUCUGGUGGUCUUUGGCCAUCCGAGUUGUAAUUUAGAGAAGCGUCUUCCGCGCUGGACCGUGCACAAGUCUCCUGGAAUGGAGCGUCACAGAGGGUGAGAAUCCGUCUUUGGCACGGACACACCAGGGCUUUUGUGAUGCGCUCUCGAAGAGUCGAGUUGUUUGGGAAUGCAGCUCAAAAUGGGUGGUGAACUCCAUCUAAAGCUAAAUAUUGGCGAGAGACCGAUAGCGCACAAGUAGAGUGAUCGAAAGAUGAAAAGCACUUUGGAAAGAGAGUGAAACAGUAC
This 366-nucleotide ribosomal RNA is filed under the name uncultured fungus. Its description in RNAcentral is "eukaryotic LSU rRNA". It matches the Rfam family "Eukaryotic large subunit ribosomal RNA", at positions 40 to 398 of the family's 3401-position model. The record is from RNAcentral. Lineage: Eukaryota; Fungi.